Molecule: ribosomal RNA, 1222 nt
Filed under: uncultured bacterium
Lineage: Bacteria
Description: bacterial SSU rRNA
Rfam family: Bacterial small subunit ribosomal RNA
Source: RNAcentral
UGGUGGCGACCGGCGCACGGGUGCGUAACGCGUAUGCAACCUACCUUUAACAGGGGGAUAACACUGAGAAAUUGGUACUAAUACCCCAUAAUAUCAUAGAAGGCAUCUUUUAUGGUUGAAAAUUCCGAUGGUUAGAGAUGGGCAUGCGUUGUAUUAGCUAGUUGGUGGGGUAACGGCUCACCAAGGCGACGAUACAUAGGGGGACUGAGAGGUUAACCCCCCACACUGGUACUGAGACACGGACCAGACUCCUACGGGAGGCAGCAGUGAGGAAUAUUGGUCAAUGGACGCAAGUCUGAACCAGCCAUGCCGCGUGCAGGAUGACGGCUCUAUGAGUUGUAAACUGCUUUUGUACGAGGGUAAACGCAGAUACGUGUAUCUGUCUGAAAGUAUCGUACGAAUAAGGAUCGGCUAACUCCGUGCCAGCAGCCGCGGUAAUACGGAGGAUUCAAGCGUUAUCCGGAUUUAUUGGGUUUAAAGGGUGCGUAGGCGGUUUGAUAAGUUAGAGGUGAAAUUUCGGGGCUCAACCCUGAACGUGCCUCUAAUACUGUUGAGCUAGAGAGUAGUUGCGGUAGGCGGAAUGUAUGGUGUAGCGGUGAAAUGCUUAGAGAUCAUACAGAACACCGAUUGCGAAGGCAGCUUACCAAACUAUAUCUGACGUUGAGGCACGAAAGCGUGGGGAGCAAACAGGAUUAGAUACCCUGGUAGUCCACGCAGUAAACGAUGAUAACUCGUUGUCGGCGAUACACAGUCGGUGACUAAGCGAAAGCGAUAAGUUAUCCACCUGGGGAGUACGUUCGCAAGAAUGAAACUCAAAGGAAUUGACGGGGGCCCGCACAAGCGGAGGAACAUGUGGUUUAAUUCGAUGAUACGCGAGGAACCUUACCCGGGCUUGAAAGUUAGCGACGAUUCUUGAAAGAGGAUUUCCCUUCGGGGCGCGAAACUAGGUGCUGCAUGGUUGUCGUCAGCUCGUGCCGUGAGGUGUCGGGUUAAGUCCCAUAACGAGCGCAACCCCUACCGUUAGUUGCCAUCAGGUGAAGCUGGGCACUCUGGCGGGACUGCCGGUGUAAGCCGAGAGGAAGGUGGGGAUGACGUCAAAUCAGCACGGCCCUUACGUCCGGGGCUACACACGUGUUACAAUGGUAGGUACAGAGGGCAGCUACCCAGCGAUGGGAUGCGAAUCUCGAAAGCCUAUCUCAGUUCGGAUUGGAGGCUGAAACCC